Molecule: long non-coding RNA, 281 nt
Filed under: Elaeis guineensis (African oil palm)
Lineage: Eukaryota; Viridiplantae; Streptophyta; Magnoliopsida; Arecales; Arecaceae
Description: long non-coding RNA (EGUI_LNC031549)
Source: RNAcentral
AGGAAGCCAAAUCGACGAUCGGUGAUGACCUCCGGCGUCGAAAAUAGCCAAAAGAGAAGGGGCGGAACAGAGGUUUCUUUGAUCUCAAUUUUUUGGUAAACCCAGUCGCUGGCGGUCGAGCACACAUACAAGAAAAGGAAGGGGUGGAAGGGAGGAAGAGGAGCUGGGGCUUACUUUGAACUCUAGUGAUUACUGUGGCGAGAAAUCAAAGCGGGCACGGUGAAGGAUUUUCGCGAAAAUCUUUGACGAUCCUCGCCAAUUGCUCUCGAUUCUUGAUGGGA